GUUCAGUGAAGACCACUUCGCCUCUGCCCGGAGGCCCACCGUUGCAGCUAGCAGAACUCUGUACCGAGGGCAGCGUUUGUACUGGAACUCCAUUCAUCAUGUUUACCAAAAGGAUGCUUGUGAGGACAAAGGCGUGGGGGCUCUGUCUACUGGGACUAUUCCUUGAAACAAAUUCUCCCCUUCAAUCCAUUCAGAACAGUAUGUGGAAGACAGAAGAGAGAAUUGGUGGACAGAACCAACUUUGCCAUCAGACAAUCUGAAAUUGAAUCUUCCUUCUGCUUCUAAGUUGUCAUCUACCUUCUCUGAACCUCAGUUUCCACAAGUCCAGCAGGCACCUCAGGAUAGGCCUUCUCUAUUUGUUUGUGGUGAGAAUUAAGUGAGAUAACCUCUGUAAAGGUCUCUCCACGGUGCCUGACUUUGAUAGACCUUGAAGAAACACAAGGAGAUGGAGGGGAGGUCAAGUUCACUGAGGCAUUGUGGAGACCUUCCCUCCGUGGCCCUUAUCUUCUUGGAAUCAUGAAACUGAAGGGGAGCUUAGGGACCACGCACUUGCUUCUCAAAUGUUAGUGCACACCUCAAUCACCUAAGGAACUUUCUGUUUUAAAAUCUAGAUUCUUGGGCCCUUCCCCCAUGUCUACUCAAUUAGAACCUCUGGGAUGGAUUUCUGACCUUAGUAUGUUUAAAAAAAACAGCUCCCAAGUGAUUCUAGUUAAGACACCAGAUGUGAUGCCUUCUGAUUUAACCUGUACUGUGCUGCGUGCUUUGGAGAAGGAAAUGGCAACCCACUCCAGUGUUCCUGCCUGGAGAAUCCCAGGGAUGGUGGAGCCUGGUGGGCUGCCGUCUAUGGGGUCGCACAGAGUCGGACACGACUGAAGCGACUUAGCAGCAGCAGUGCUGCGCGCUUAGUCACUCAGUCGAGUCUGACUCUUUCCGACCCUAUGGACUGUAGCCCACCAGGUUCCCCUGGGAUUCUCCAAGCAAGAAUACUGGAAUGGGUUGCCACUUCCUUCUCCAGGAUAUCUUCCCAACCCAGGGAUCGAACCCAGGUCUCCCAUAUUACAGGUAGAUUCUUUACCGUCUGAGUCACCAGGGAAGCUGAAUACUGGAGUGCAUAGCCUAUCCCUUCCCCAGGGAAUCUUCCCGACCCAGGAAUAGAACUGAGGUCUCCAGAAUUGCAGGUGGAUUCUUUACCAGCUGAGCCACCAGGGAAGCCCUCUGAUUUAACCUGCUCUCCAUCAAAUGAAAACAAAUCUCCUCUUCAUCACCCCUGCUCCAGCCCCUUCAGGGCACAUCAGUUGCUCUUAAACAGAUGGGAUCUUGUGCUGUCUCAGACCAGUUGUUAGACAGUGUUUUCUGAAGGUCAGAAAUCUUAUUUCUAUGCUCCCAAUUUACUUCUUAGUAUGAAAAAACCCUUCUUAUGUAAUAACUUUCCU
Molecule: long non-coding RNA, 1433 nt
Organism: Bos taurus (domestic cattle)
Lineage: Eukaryota; Metazoa; Chordata; Mammalia; Artiodactyla; Bovidae
Source: Ensembl